RNAcentral lists this ribosomal RNA (294 nucleotides) under uncultured bacterium. Its description in RNAcentral is "partial 16S ribosomal RNA". It matches the Rfam family "Bacterial small subunit ribosomal RNA", at positions 29 to 353 of the family's 1533-position model. The record is from RNAcentral.
AGCGAACGCUGGCGGUAGGCUUAACACAUGCAAGUCGAACGGAUCCUUCGGGAUUAGUGGCGGACGGGUGAGUAACACGUGGGAACGUGCCUUUUGGUUCGGAACAACACAGGGAAACUUGUGCUAAUACCGGAUAAGCCCUUCGGGGAAGGAUUAUCGCCAUUAGAGCGGCCGCGUCUGAUUAGCUAGUUGGUGAGGUAAAGGCUCACCAAGGCUACGAUCAGUAGCUGGUCUGAGAGGAUGAUCAGCCACACUGGACGUGAGACACGGCCCAGACUCCUACGGGAGGCAGCA